AGUGAACGCUGGCGGUAGGCCUAACACAUGCAAGUCGAACGGCAGCACAGUAAGAUCUUGCUCUUACGGGUGGCGAGUGGCGGACGGGUGAGGAAUACAUCGGCAUCUACUUUUUCGUGGGGGAUAACGUAGGGAAACUUACGCUAAUACCGCAUACGACCUACGGGUGAAAGCAGUGGAUCUUCGCACCUUGCGCGAUUGAAUUAGCCGAUGUCGGAUUAGCUAGUUGGCGGGGUAAAGGCCCACCAAGGCGACGAUCCGUAGCUGGUCUGAGAGGAUGAUCAGCCACACUGGAACUGAGACACGGUCCAGACUCCUACGGGAGGCAGCAGUGGGGAAUAUUGGACAAUGGGCGCAAGCCUGAUCCAGCCAUACCGCGUGGGUGAAGAAGGCCUUCGGGUUGUAAAGCCCUUUUGUUGGGAAAGAAAAGCAGCAGGUUAAUACCCCGCUGUUCUGACGGUACCCAAAGAAUAAGCACCGGCUAACUUCGUG
Molecule: ribosomal RNA, 492 nt
Filed under: uncultured bacterium
Lineage: Bacteria
Description: partial 16S ribosomal RNA
Rfam family: Bacterial small subunit ribosomal RNA
Source: RNAcentral